UGAAAAUGGAGGAAGACUCUUAUCUUGAGGGUAACCAACUCAGCCAAUCAAAUGAUAUCAAUACUCCCUUAUUUAUUUAAGGGAGGAAAUAAAUUAAGUAUUGUAGUUCUUGUUUUUUUUACGAACCUAAGUUGGUAGCAUUAGAUACAGGGUCAUUAGGACUUCCAAGUCUGAAAUCGAUCCCACCACUUACAAAGAAUACAGUCUGAUUUAAGUUUGCUUCCAAUUCAUGAGGAGGUUGCUAAAAGGUUUAAAUAGUAAACCGGACAUUCCAAUUCAAAUGAACUGAUAACGGGGGGAAAUGGGUGGUGUUGGUAAAUGAUGCAAAUUUGCAUAAGUGUCUUGGGAUAUACCGGAUUGGGUAUUGUACUGUCAAAUUUCUUAUUCGUGAUGCACCUUAUGCUAUGGGUAGCUCAUGAAGCAGUAACUGUUUUUUGGCAAGUAGCUCUUAAUACUAUCACUUCAUCCAGCUCCAGAAACUUUAAUCAGCAUCCGGUACCUAAAAUGAUAACAGGGCCCCUCGAAUGAUUUUGAGAGUUGCUAGCCUAGUUUACGCACA
This 559-nucleotide long non-coding RNA is filed under the name Capsicum annuum. RNAcentral's name for it is "long non-coding RNA (CANN_LNC006640)". Lineage: Eukaryota; Viridiplantae; Streptophyta; Magnoliopsida; Solanales; Solanaceae. The record is from RNAcentral.